Megalops cyprinoides (Indo-Pacific tarpon) is the source of this 80-nucleotide small nucleolar RNA. RefSeq annotates it as small nucleolar RNA SNORD72. The record is from RefSeq and is a predicted model, not a curated record. The transcript has a single exon. Lineage: Eukaryota; Metazoa; Chordata; Actinopteri; Elopiformes; Megalopidae.
GUCUUGUCAAUGAUGUUAUGUAAAUACAAAUGUCUGAACAUAUGAGUUCAAGUGAUUCCAUGUUUAAACUGAGACGAGAC